AACCUCCACUCUCCUGAACCAUCAGAUGGAAACACAGCUCUGAAUGGUUAUAAAAGGAGAAAAGUAAAAUCGAAACCGACUUCCAUUUGUUUGUGGUACAUGAACUAGUUUCAAAAAGGC
This 120-nucleotide small nucleolar RNA is filed under the name Echinops telfairi (small Madagascar hedgehog). Its description in RNAcentral is "Small nucleolar RNA SNORA61 (ENSETEG00000026612.1)". The record is from RNAcentral. Lineage: Eukaryota; Metazoa; Chordata; Mammalia; Afrosoricida; Tenrecidae.